Molecule: ribosomal RNA, 257 nt
Filed under: Pseudo-nitzschia fraudulenta
Lineage: Eukaryota; Bacillariophyta; Bacillariophyceae; Bacillariales; Bacillariaceae
Description: partial Bacterial small subunit ribosomal RNA
Rfam family: Bacterial small subunit ribosomal RNA
Source: RNAcentral
UGACGGGUAGCCGGCCUGAGAGGGUGACCGGCCACAUUGGGACUGAGAUACGGCCCAGACUCCUACGGGAGGCAGCAGUGAGGAAUCUUGCGCAAUGGGCGAAAGCCUGACGCAGCCACGCCGCGUGCCGGAAGACGGCCCUAUGGGUUGUAAACGGCUUUUGCCAGGGAAGAAAGCCUGGGGUUCGCCCUAGAUUGACGGUACCUGGUGAAUAAGCACCGGCUAACUCCGUGCCAGCAGCCGCGGUAAUACGGAGG